CUUUCUCGCACCAGAAGUUAAGCAGCUGGAAGGCAGGGGUUGUGUCUUAUUCAGCUUUGUAUCCACAGCACCGAGCAGUUUCUGGCACAGCAGGCAUUCAAGAAACCUCUGUGGAACAAAUGGAUAACGAAUGACGCUUCUUCAGCUGUAUGGAGGAGAAACAGCUGGAUUUCAUUGCCUGUGGAAGAGUGACCAAGCUCCUUGGCCACCCUGCUGCACAAGGACUGUACUCCAGGAUUUGUGUGGAGUGGCUGUGAAAGAACAGUUGCAAACUCUUGUGCAUGAUAAACCAGUUAACUAGCUCCAGCUUUCCAUGUCAAGCUUCCAGUUAGGCUCUUGGGCUGCACCCUUGAACAUGACUGUUUUGUAAGGAUCAACACACAUAUGAGGAUAACUUCUAGCAGAAAAGACAGAAGCCAAAGAAACAAAGAGAGUAGAGGCAAUGAGAGAGAAGAAAAAAGAAAGAAAAAGCAAAAACACCAAAAAAUAAACAAAUAACUCAUUAAUAUAGACAGAGAAGUAAGAGCAUAUUUCAGAAAACAAUGAACUGGAAAUUAUCAUUCAGAGCACAAAAAGGAGCUCUUAGAAAUUAAAAUUAUGACGGAAGACAUGAAAAAUGCAUAAGAAGGAUUCAAAUACAAAAUUAAGUAAAUAUCCCAGAAAGUUGAAAGGGAAGACAAAGGAACGGGAAAUAGGGAGGAAAAAACGUGAGGAUUAGCGCAGGAGACCCAACAUUUGAAUAUAAGAAAGAGCUGGAUAAAAUAAAGAGGAUGUUAUCAAAGAAAUAAUUCAAGGAAAAAUUUCCAGAAGGAAAGAGUACAUGGAUUUCCAGGUAGAAAGAGCCUAACAACUAUGUUCUUUCAUCUUUUUUUAAUAGAUGUAAAAAAAUUUUCAUACUAAGGUAUGCAAAUAUAAAAUUUCAGAAUACUGGAUCAGCAAGAAAAUUCCAAGUUUCUAAAAAGGAAAACAAAACAAAAUCAGAUACAUACAAAAGACUGGAAAUCAGAGUGAAAUUAAACUGUUAAACAGUAACACUAGAAUUGAGUACACAAUGAUUAAUGAGUUUAUUUAUUAUAAAGAGAAAAUUAUUUUCAACUCAGAAUUUUAUAUCCAGCUAAACUAUCAAUUGGAUAGUGGUAGGGGUGGGGCAGGGGCAGAAGAAUAAAGACUUUUUUAUAUAUUCAAGAUGUUAUGCAAACAAUGGCAAAUAUCUAUAUGACACACACACCAGGGAGUGUGUGCAACAGUGUUCGCUAGGGAAAUUCAUAGUAACAAGAUCAGUAGUAGGCAAGAAGUUCUCCUAUUGCCUAUCACACCCUGGGGAAGAGUACAGUCUAACAGAGCUAGAUGUCAGACUCUGAAGGAGGUACUCAGACACUUGGGCUUUGGAGCUUUUACACUAUUCAUGAUUAGUAAAGCCCUUCUCCUGGAAUGAUUGGAAAACUAGGGCUCAAAAUUUGUUGAUGAUCAGAAGUGAUUGCCUGGAGCAUCAGAUAUAUCUCAUUUAAACUGAGCUUUAAAGGAAGUCAACUUUUUUGCCGGGAGGUCAGUCUAUAGAAUAUAAGUCUUGGACAAGUUCUCCUUUUCCUCUCUGAAAAAGAGGAAAUUUUGUGUGAAGAGAUUUCUUCACACAAAUCUCUUCUGAGGAAACUACUGGUUGAUGUCACCCACCUUACUGAGGGAGCAAACCAAGAAAGAUGAAGACAUACAAUCCAAGACAAAGGGGAUACAUGCAGGGGAGGCAAAGAUAAUUACCAGGAUGACAAUGAAGGGAUAUUCCUAGGACAGCGAGCAGCAGGGGCAACCUAGACUGGUGGAUGGGUGCAAUAGGAGAGAGGGCUCCAGGUAUAAGGUUCUCAAGAAGAUGAAAUUGAUACACCACCCAUUUUUAAAACAGCUUUAUUGAGAUCUAAUGGGCACAGAAUAAACUAAACAUAUUUGAAAUA
This is a non-coding RNA of Microcebus murinus (gray mouse lemur), 1946 nucleotides long. NCBI's taxonomy places the organism in Eukaryota, Metazoa, Chordata, Mammalia, Primates, Cheirogaleidae. The record is from RefSeq and is a predicted model, not a curated record.